CCUACGGGAGGCAGCAGUAGGGAAUAUUGGGCAAUGGAGGCAACUCUGACCCAGCCAUGCCGCGUGCAGGAAGAAGGCCUUCUGGGUUGUAAACUGCUUUUGGAAGGGAACAAAACGGCUCUGCGGAGCAACUUGAGUGUACCUUCAGAAUAAGCACCGGCUAACUCCGUGCCAGCAGCCGCGGUAAUAA
This 190-nucleotide ribosomal RNA is filed under the name uncultured Rhodocytophaga sp. RNAcentral's name for it is "partial 16S ribosomal RNA". It matches the Rfam family "Bacterial small subunit ribosomal RNA", at positions 338 to 526 of the family's 1533-position model. The record is from RNAcentral. Lineage: Bacteria; Pseudomonadati; Bacteroidota; Cytophagia; Cytophagales; Rhodocytophagaceae.